UGAACGCNGGCGGGCGUGGUUAAGACAUGCAAGUCGAACGGGCUUUUCUGAGGUAGCAAUACUUUAGAAGAGCAAGUGGCGAACGGGUGCGUAACACGUGAACAAUCUACCUUUAAGUGGGGAAUAGCUCGUCGAAAGGCGAAUUAAUACCGCAUGUGGUCAGGUCUCGCAUGAGAUUUGAACUAAAGUCAGGGACCGCAAGGCCUGACGCUUUUAGAGGAG
Molecule: ribosomal RNA, 222 nt
Filed under: uncultured Opitutales bacterium
Lineage: Bacteria; Pseudomonadati; Verrucomicrobiota; Opitutia; Opitutales
Description: partial 16S ribosomal RNA
Rfam family: Bacterial small subunit ribosomal RNA
Source: RNAcentral